RNAcentral lists this ribosomal RNA (741 nucleotides) under Acinetobacter johnsonii. Its description in RNAcentral is "bacterial SSU rRNA". It matches the Rfam family "Bacterial small subunit ribosomal RNA", at positions 51 to 785 of the family's 1533-position model. Lineage: Bacteria; Pseudomonadati; Pseudomonadota; Gammaproteobacteria; Moraxellales; Moraxellaceae. The record is from RNAcentral.
ACACAUGCAGUCGAGCGGGGAAAGGUAGCUUGCUACCUGACCUAGCGGCGGACGGGUGAGUAAUGCUUAGGAAUCUGCCUAUUAGUGGGGGACAACAUUCCGAAAGGAAUGCUAAUACCGCAUACGCCCUACGGGGGAAAGCAGGGGAUCUUCGGACCUUGCGCUAAUAGAUGAGCCUAAGUCAGAUUAGCUAGUUGGUGGGGUAAAGGCCUACCAAGGCGACGAUCUGUAGCGGGUCUGAGAGGAUGAUCCGCCACACUGGGACUGAGACACGGCCCAGACUCCUACGGGAGGCAGCAGUGGGGAAUAUUGGACAAUGGGCGAAAGCCUGAUCCAGCCAUGCCGCGUGUGUGAAGAAGGCCUUUUGGUUGUAAAGCACUUUAAGCGAGGAGGAGGCUACUUGGAUUAAUACUCUAGGAUAGUGGACGUUACUCGCAGAAUAAGCACCGGCUAACUCUGUGCCAGCAGCCGCGGUAAUACAGAGGGUGCGAGCGUUAAUCGGAUUUACUGGGCGUAAAGCGUGCGUAGGCGGCUUCUUAAGUCGGAUGUGAAAUCCCUGAGCUUAACUUAGGAAUUGCAUUCGAUACUGGGAAGCUAGAGUAUGGGAGAGGAUGGUAGAAUUCCAGGUGUAGCGGUGAAAUGCGUAGAGAUCUGGAGGAAUACCGAUGGCGAAGGCAGCCAUCUGGGCCUAAUACUGACGCUGAGGUACGAAAGCAUGGGGGAGCAAACAGGAUUAGAUAC